Molecule: long non-coding RNA, 852 nt
Organism: Mytilus californianus (California mussel)
Lineage: Eukaryota; Metazoa; Mollusca; Bivalvia; Mytilida; Mytilidae
Exons: 2
Source: RefSeq, a predicted model, not a curated record
UAUGACCGAAAAAAAUUUUGUGGUCGUAUAUUGGUAUGACGUUGGCGUCGUCGUCGUCAUCGUCGUCCGAAGACACAUUGGUUUUUGCACUCUAACUUUAGUUUAAGUGUAUGGAUCUCUAUGAAAUUUUACCAUAAGGUUCAAUACCACAAAAGGAAGGUUGGGAUUGAUUUUGGGGGUUAUGGUACCAACAGUUAAGGAAUAAGGGGCCAAAAAGAAGCAUUUUUGUAACUUCCAGACAUUACUUGUGUGUUAGUGUAUGGAUCUCUUUGACAUUGAACCACAAGGUUCCAUAUCACAAAGGGAAUGCUGGGAUUGAUUUUGGGGGUAAUUGCCUCCAAAUUUUAGGAAUUAAGGGCCAAAAAAGGGGCAAAAAACAAGUGUUUUUCUAGUUUCAUGACAAUAACUUGUGUGUAAGUGUAUGGAUCUUUAUGAAAUUUUACCAUAAGGUUCAAUACCACAAAAGGAAGGUUGGGAUUGAUUUUGGGGGUUAUGGUACCAACAGUUAAGGAAUUAGGGGUCAAAAAGGGGCCAAAAAUAAGCAUUUUUGUAACUUCCAGACAUUACUUGUGUGUUAGUGUAUGGAUCUCUUUGACAUUGAACCACAAGGUUCCAUAUCACAAAGGGAAUGCUGGGAUUGAUUUUGGGGGUAAUUGCCUCCAAAUUUUAGGAAUUAGGGGCCAAAAAAAGGGCAAAAAACAAGCGUUUUUCUAGUUUCAUGACAAUAACUUGUGUGUAAGUGUAUGGAUCUUUCUGAAAUUGUACUACAAGGUUUCAUAUUACAAAGGGAAAGCUGGGUUUGAGUUUGGGGGUAAUUGACCUAAACGUUUAGGAAUUUGGGGCCAAAAAGGG